AUUGAACGCUGGCGGCAUGCUUUACACAUGCAAGUCGAACGGUAACAGGCCUUCGGGUGCUGACGAGUGGCGCACGGGUGCGUAAUGCAUCGGAAGUUACCAGAGGGUGGGGAUAACGGAGGGGAAGCUUGGCUAAAUACGCAUGUGAACUGAGGGUGAAAGGGGGGGAACGAGCAGCAAUGUUUGGCCCUGCCGCCUUUGAACGGCCGAUGUCGGAUUAGCUAGUUGGUGGGGUAAAGGCCUACCAAGGCGACGAUCCGUAGCUGGUCUGAGAGGACGACCAGCCACACUGGGACUGAGACACGGCCCAGACUCCUACGGGAGGCAGCAGUGGGGAAUUUUGGACAAUGGGCGCAAGCCUGAUCCAGCAAUGCCGCGUGCGGGAAGAAGGCCUUCGGGUUGUAAACCGCUUUUGGCAGGAACGAAACGGUGUCCGCUAAUACCGGGCGCUAAUGACGGUACCUGCAGAAUAAGCACCGGCUAACUACGUG
This 491-nucleotide ribosomal RNA is filed under the name uncultured bacterium. RNAcentral's name for it is "partial 16S ribosomal RNA". It matches the Rfam family "Bacterial small subunit ribosomal RNA", at positions 29 to 507 of the family's 1533-position model. The record is from RNAcentral.